UGGAGUGCAGUGGCACGAUCUCGGCUCACUGCAACCUCUGCCUCCUGGGUUCUAGCAAUUCUCCUGCCUCAGCCUCCUGAGUCACUGGGAUUACAGGCACACACCGACACGCCCGGCUAAUUUUUUGUAUUUUAGUAGAGAUGGGGUUUCACCAUAUUGCCCAGGCUAGUCUCAAACUCCUGAGCUCAGGCAAUCCACCCACCUUGGCCUCCCAAAGUGCUAGGAUUACAGGCAUGAGCAACUGAGCCCGGCCUAUUGGCACUUUUGAGUGGAUAUGUCAAUAAAUCAAUUGUAAACAUGAAUCUGAAUCUUAGGAGAGAGGUAUAAACUAUAUACAUGUGGGUCAAAAUUAGAUCAGGUAUGGAGUUAAUAUAAACAGAGAUUUUAAGACUUUCCAGAUCAAAUCUUAAGGCACUUCAACAAAGUAGACUGAAAAGGAGCAGAGUUGAAGACAAAAAUAAGGACUGUCAUUAUUCGUUACUGUAAAUCAUAAAGAAUAAUCUUAGAAUAUGCUUAAUAAAAAUACUAAAUAUGGUCUUUUUUAUCAAAAAACAUCUGCUAUCCCUUGGGGCUAUCAAAGCACAUGUCCAUAUGAAGCUACCACAAUGUUUUCAGAAAAUUGUGUAUUCUGAAAAUGUCUAUUCACUGGCACUGAAAAAAAGUUUUCAGAGUUGACUGAUAAUACUUCCAGAAAAAAUAAAUGCUACAGAUUCUGAAUACUUCAUGAAGCUAUGGGAGGGUCUCACUUUGUCACCCAGAAUGGAGUGCAGCAGCCCAAUCAUGGCUCACUCAAUCUUCAACCUCUCAGGCUCAAGCAUUUCUCCCACUGCAGCCUCUUGAGUAGCUGGGACUACAGGUGGGUGCCACCAUGUCUGGCUAAUUUUUUUUUUUUUUUUUUUAAAGAAACAGAAUCUCACUAUGUUGCCUAGGCUGGUCUCAAAUUCCUGGGAGCAAGCAGUCCUCCUACCUUGGCCUCCCAAUGUACUGGGAUUGCAGGCAUGAACCACCUUAUCCAGCUACAAUAUGUUUUUAUAAGGCAAAGUAACU
Molecule: long non-coding RNA, 1047 nt
Filed under: Pan troglodytes (chimpanzee)
Lineage: Eukaryota; Metazoa; Chordata; Mammalia; Primates; Hominidae
Description: long non-coding RNA NONPTRT003178
Source: RNAcentral